CAGCCGUAAACUAUGCUCGCUAGGUGUCAGGCAUGGCGCGACCGUGUCUGGUGCCGCAGGGAAGCCGUGAAGCGAGCCACCUGGGAAGUACGGCCGCAAGGCUGAACUAAGGAAUUGGCGGGGGGAGCACAACAACGGGUGGAGCCUGCGGUUUAAUUGGACUCAACGCCGGACAACUCACCGGGGACGACAGCAAUAUGUAGGCCAGGCUGAAGACCUUGCCUGAAUCGCUGAGAGGUGGUGCAUGGCGUAGACGUCU
Molecule: ribosomal RNA, 259 nt
Filed under: uncultured archaeon
Lineage: Archaea
Description: partial 16S ribosomal RNA
Rfam family: Archaeal small subunit ribosomal RNA
Source: RNAcentral